AAGACGAAGGGAGGGAAAAAGGAAAGGAAAAAAUAAGCAGCAAAAUUCACGUUAAAGGUUGCAUCUUGUUUGGAUACGAUACCUAGCACGGGUGCACUGACACUCCUGAUGCGAUCUUCCAGUCCCAAGAAGCAGAAAGUCAGAUGAAGAAGCAAAGAAGAUAUAAAUCACCAGCAAAAUAAAGUUACAGAAGAGCAAAGUGUGAACACAGGCUAAAAACCAGGAAGGCAACAUCUACCAGCUAGAGACAAAAACACACAAGCCUGCUCAAGCAAUACUGUCGCUCCCUCUACUCUUACAGCACUCCAACACGAUACAAAGAUAAUAUUCGUAUCAGUUCCAACCUGCUUUGAAACAAGUAUAUAUGAUGGAGACAGAACUGCGUUGACAUUAGAACAGACCCAUUUGUUUCACAGAGCACUAUGAAAAACAGAUGUGGAAGGCAUGAAGUCAGAGUGAGGAAGGAGUCAACAGCGUAAAAAAACAGUUUAAAAUGUUGUACAACUAAAUGUUGGUAUAAAACGUAAUCAAUCAUUUUCAAGAACUGUAAUUGUUUUCUCUGGUAGUGAUUCUGAGAAAUAGGCACUUUGUAAUGAUUACAUUUUAAAACACGUAAAGGAACUUCGCAAACAUUUCUCUUUCAAAAAAGAACACUUAACAACACAAGGCAUGCUCAGACACAGCCAAAUCAAAAACUGAAGCCAGCAGACAGUGGGCAAGCAAUUGGAAAAUGUUUAAGAAGCCGUUACAAAUCACAGUGCUGCUCAUUUCAGCUCAUAACAUAGAUUUCAAAAAGAGCUGGUGUUGAGGUAUUGUUAAGCACACAAAGCAAACUUUACUUAGAAUAUAUUUAUAAGAAUACCAAGUAUGGAAACAGAUUUUUAUUCAGACUGAUUUUUAUUUUUAUUUUAAUUUACUGCUCUGAUUAAAAACAAACAAACUCAAAUGCUUUCCUUUGAGGAAAAAGGCUUUCAACUGAAGCCAUCUUCUCAGGUAUUAUAAAAAGAGGUAAAGGUGAAGUGUUGGCUCUGUUAACCUUGACAAUGUCAGUUUGAAGUCCCCAGCCAUCUGAUUAGUGAGCUUUUGAUUUAUUUUCUGAAGUGAAAUCUUACUGAACAGGGUAAGUAGCUGUCUGCUUGCAGCAAGCAAUAAAAGCAAUUUCUCAUGUAUAUUAGAAUUAGACUGUCAAAUCUAAACAGACAUUGAAUUACUGCUGCAGAAUGCAUUUGAGUUACAAUUUGUGUGGAAGGAACAGUAAGAAAAAGCCACAAGUGAAUUGCAAG
Lagopus muta (rock ptarmigan) is the source of this 1283-nucleotide long non-coding RNA. RefSeq lists it as uncharacterized. The record is from RefSeq and is a predicted model, not a curated record. The transcript is spliced from 3 exons. NCBI's taxonomy places the organism in Eukaryota, Metazoa, Chordata, Aves, Galliformes, Phasianidae.